RNAcentral lists this transfer RNA (72 nucleotides) under Candidatus Dormiibacterota bacterium. RNAcentral describes it as "candidate division AD3 bacterium tRNA-Met". It matches the Rfam family "tRNA". Rfam says of the family: Transfer RNA (tRNA) molecules are approximately 80 nucleotides in length. Their secondary structure includes four short double-helical elements and three loops (D, anti-codon, and T loops). Further hydrogen bonds mediate the characteristic L-shaped molecular structure. tRNAs have two regions of fundamental functional importance: the anti-codon, which is responsible for specific mRNA codon recognition, and the 3' end, to which the tRNAs corresponding amino acid is attached (by aminoacyl-tRNA synthetases). tRNAs cope with the degeneracy of the genetic code in two manners: having more than one tRNA (with a specific anti-codon) for a particular amino acid; and 'wobble' base-pairing, i.e. permitting non-standard base-pairing at the 3rd anti-codon position. RNAcentral also lists the same sequence under 2 other names. Lineage: Bacteria; Bacillati; Candidatus Dormiibacterota. The record is from RNAcentral.
CGUGCGGUGGAGCAGUGGAAGCUCGUCGGGCUCAUAACCCGAAGGUCGUUGGUUCGAAUCCAACCCGCACAA